GACUCAACCAGACCAUUACAAAGUAUGGCCUGGAGGAUUUUCAUCUCAAGGUGCAAGAACAUUCUUAAUGACUGUACACGGCAGCUGCUGAUGGACGAUGUUGGGCCAGAUGUGCUACAGUUAGCGUUAAGGAGGUUGGAGACAAUGCAGAGAAGCCUUCAGUGGGCAAGAGGAAGACUGAUCAAUGUAACUGCAGCAGAUCAACUUCUGCGUGACUUGGCUGAAUUGAUUCAGGAUGUCGAACUGUCUACUCAGCAUGGGCAACAAGGCUGUUUUGGAUACCAGGCACCAGUGGUUUUCAACAGAGGUAGAGGUAGAUCCCUUUACCUUAUCACUCGGGAACAGCUUUCAUUCCUGAAGUCAUGUGGAUUCACUGCACCUCAGAUGGCUGAUAUUUUGAGUGUUUCACU
This is a long non-coding RNA of Oreochromis aureus, 410 nucleotides long. RefSeq lists it as uncharacterized. Lineage: Eukaryota; Metazoa; Chordata; Actinopteri; Cichliformes; Cichlidae. The record is from RefSeq and is a predicted model, not a curated record. The transcript is spliced from 3 exons.